RNAcentral lists this long non-coding RNA (969 nucleotides) under Pavo cristatus (Indian peafowl). RNAcentral's name for it is "lncRNA (ENSPSTG00000009616.1)". Lineage: Eukaryota; Metazoa; Chordata; Aves; Galliformes; Phasianidae. The record is from RNAcentral.
UCUCCACCUUCAUGAUUCUAUGAUUCUACGGUUCUAAACCAACCAGGAGAGAAAGUUAGCCAGGAGGUGCUAAGCCAGAAGCCACGCACGUGGGGAUGCAGCGCUGACAGCAUCCAGCCUGGUCCCGAGGGGCUCUGCUGAGCACAGAACCAGCUCCAGCUGGAACCACGGCAGCCCACCUUAAUGCGAUCAGCAUCCCGCCUCCGUGCUCGCACCCCCUGCCAACCCGCAGCGCGCUUCCCGCGGGCUUCGGAGCUGUCCAGCAUCUUCCCCAGCGAUGCGGCAGAAAAUCAGAAAGUUUUUUUCGGCCACCCUCCAAAUGAACAGAUUAGCAGCUUGGCAAACGGCUCGAGGAGCGGGUUACUGCCACGGGGUGCAAGAGGCACGCAGCAUCCAGUGUGGGCGUGCAGACAGAGGUGGGCACGCAGCCCGUCGCGAUUUGGGGGGGCACAGAGAAGGCCCUGCAAACUGCUCCGGAAACAACACCCUGAUAGAAUGCUUUGCUCAACGUGCACAGCCCUUGGGGAAGGAUUUGAGAAGUCCAAUACGUUCGGCUUUUGUUCCAAGGAGGGACACGUGCAACACCUACAGUCACUACAGCAAAAAGGUCAUUGAAACGUGGAUCCCCAAAAUCAGCCCUGAGCGUGGUGUCAAUUGUGUCUCACCAAGAAAAUUCCGACUCACCCGAGUGAGGAAACAAAGGCACGUGCUGGGUUGCUGCAAAGAGUAAAGCAGCAAAGGGAUAAAGCACCUCAACACUGCAUUCCAACACGGACCUGCUGCUUCAUACCACCCUUGCCAAAAUGCUUUCUUUCAGUAAAGUCGAGAUGGGCAGCUUAGGAAAUGAUGGAAGAGAUCGUUCCAAUGCUGUGGGGUUGGCCUAUAUAGAUAUAGGCAUAAAAAUCAUACUAUUAAUGCGUGAAGAAUUCCAGGGCGCUCCUGGUGGGAGCAGCAUACAGGCUGCGUUUC